GACCCGUCUUGAAACACGGACCAAGAAGUCUAUCUUGCGCGCAAGCCAAUGGGUGUGGCGUAGUACCGGCGUGUACUGCCCCCAUAUAUAAAACCCCACAGGCGUAGACAACUCGAACAAUGUCUGAGGGAUUACGGGUUCGGCAUGGCGCAAGCCUUCGUCGGACCCCUCCAUCCCGGGGUGUCCCGCUACGGGCUGUGUUCGCGUCUCACGAUGCGUUCGCUGUCCCGUGUGGGCAUCCCCUCGAGUGCGUAGGAUGCGACCCGAAAGAUGGUGAACUAUGCCUGAUCAGGCCGAAGUCAGGGCAAACCCUGAUGGAGGGCCGAAGCAAUUCUGACGUGCAAAUCGAUUGUCAUAGAUGGGCAUAGGGGCGAAAGACCAAUCGAACCAUCUAGUAGCUGGUUCCUUCCGA
RNAcentral lists this ribosomal RNA (412 nucleotides) under Anopheles annularis A. Its description in RNAcentral is "eukaryotic LSU rRNA". It matches the Rfam family "Eukaryotic large subunit ribosomal RNA", at positions 646 to 964 of the family's 3401-position model. Lineage: Eukaryota; Metazoa; Arthropoda; Insecta; Diptera; Culicidae. The record is from RNAcentral.